This 468-nucleotide ribosomal RNA is filed under the name uncultured bacterium. RNAcentral's name for it is "partial 16S ribosomal RNA". It matches the Rfam family "Bacterial small subunit ribosomal RNA", at positions 28 to 507 of the family's 1533-position model. The record is from RNAcentral.
GACGAACGCUGGCGGGGUGCUUAACUCAUGCAAGUCGAACGGAAAGGCCCUGCUUUUGUGGGGUGCUCGAGUGGCGAACGGGUGAGUAACACGUGAGUAACCUGCCCUUGACUUUGGGAUAACUUCAGGAAACUGGGGCUAAUACCGGAUAGGAGCUCCUGCUGCAUGGUGGGGGUUGGAAAGUUUCGGCGGUUGGGGAUGGACUCGCGGCUUAUCAGCUUGUUGGUGGGGUAGUGGCUUACCAAGGCUUUGACGGGUAGCCGGCCUGAGAGGGUGACCGGCCACAUUGGGACUGAGAUACGGCCCAGACUCCUACGGGAGGCAGCAGUGGGGAAUAUUGCACAAUGGGCGGAAGCCUGAUGCAGCAACGCCGCGUGCGGGAUGACGGCCUUCGGGUUGUAAACCGCUUUCGCCUGUGACGAAGCGUGAGUGACGGUAAUGGGUAAAGAAGCACCGGCUAACUACGUG